This 114-nucleotide ribosomal RNA is filed under the name uncultured bacterium. RNAcentral describes it as "partial 16S ribosomal RNA". It matches the Rfam family "Bacterial small subunit ribosomal RNA", at positions 557 to 670 of the family's 1533-position model. The record is from RNAcentral.
GGCGUAAAGCGCAUGCAGGUGGUUGGAUAAGUCAGAUGUGAAAGCCCCGGGCUCAACCUGGGAACUGCAUUUGAAACUGUCUGACUAGAGUCCUGUAGAGGGGGGUAGAAUUUC